This 21-nucleotide non-coding RNA is filed under the name Caenorhabditis elegans. The record is from RNAcentral. Lineage: Eukaryota; Metazoa; Nematoda; Chromadorea; Rhabditida; Rhabditidae.
UAAGUGAAUAAUAAUGUUCUC